RNAcentral lists this ribosomal RNA (440 nucleotides) under uncultured bacterium. Its description in RNAcentral is "partial 16S ribosomal RNA". It matches the Rfam family "Bacterial small subunit ribosomal RNA", at positions 338 to 795 of the family's 1533-position model. The record is from RNAcentral.
CCUACGGGUGGCAGCAGUAGGGAAUUUUGCGCAAUGGGCGAAAGCCUGACGCAGCAACGCCGCGUGAUCGCGACGCCCUUCGGGGUGUAAAGAUCUGUCAGUGGGGACGAAACUUGACGGUACCCACAGAGGAAGCACCGGCUAACUCCGUGCCAGCAGCCGCGGUAAUACGGGGGGUGCAAGCGUUGUCCGGAAUCAUUGGGCGUAAAGAGUUCGUAGGCUGUUUCGUAAGUCUGGUGUGAAAGGCGCGGGCUCAACCCGCGGACGGCACAUGAUACGGGGAGACUAGAGUAAUGGAGGGGGAACCGGAAUUCUUGGUGUAGCAGUGAAAUGCGUAGAUAUCGGGAGGAACACUCGUGGCGAAGGCGGGUUCCUGGACAUUAACUGACGCUGAGGCACGAAGGCCAGGGGAGCGAAAGGGAUUAGAUACCCUUGUAGUC